GAUGAACGCUGGCGGCGUGCUUAACACAUGCAAGUCGAACGGAGAAAGGGUAGCUUGCUAUCUUUUCUUAGUGGCGGACGGGUGAGUAACGCGUGGGUAACCUGCCCUUUGCAGGGGGAUAACAGUAAGAAAUCACUGCUAAUACCGCAUACCAACUUCUUUCGCAUGAAGGAAGUUUGAAAGAUUUAUCGGCAAAGGAUGGACCCGCGUUGGAUUAGCUAGUUGGUGAGAUAACAGCCCACCAAGGCAACGAUCCAUAGCCGGCCUGAGAGGGUGAACGGCCACACUGGGACUGAGACACGGCCCAGACUCCUACGGGAGGCAGCAGUGGGGAAUAUUGCACAAUGGGCGAAAGCCUGAUGCAGCGACGCCGCGUGAAGGAUGAAGGUCUUCGGAUUGUAAACUUCUAUCAGCAGGGAAGAAAGGGCCUAUGGCCUAUGACGGUACCUGACUAAGAAGCCCCGGCUAACUACGUGCCAGCAGCCGCGGUAAAAGUC
Molecule: ribosomal RNA, 497 nt
Filed under: uncultured bacterium
Lineage: Bacteria
Description: bacterial SSU rRNA
Rfam family: Bacterial small subunit ribosomal RNA
Source: RNAcentral